CCCCUUCCUCCCCUCUUAUUUAGAGAGUUCUUAAUACCGGAUAUUCACUUUCUCAUCGCAUGGUGGGUGGUGGAAAGUUUUUUCGGCUGGGGAUGGGCCUCCGGCCUAUCAUCUUGUUGGUGGGGUGAUGGCCUACCAAGGCGACUACGGGUAUCGGCCUGAGAGGGCGACCGGCCACUUGGGACUGAGACACGGCCCAUACUCCUACGGGAGGCAGCAUGGGGAAUUUUGCGCAAUGGGCGGAAGCCUGACCUUUGCACCGCGUGGGGAAUGACGGCCUUCGGGUUGUAAACUCUUCGACCGGGACGAAAGUGAUUGACGGUACCGUAGAAGAAGCUUCGGCUAACUACGUGCCAGACCGCGGUA
Molecule: ribosomal RNA, 366 nt
Filed under: uncultured Pseudonocardia sp.
Lineage: Bacteria; Bacillati; Actinomycetota; Actinomycetes; Pseudonocardiales; Pseudonocardiaceae
Description: bacterial SSU rRNA
Rfam family: Bacterial small subunit ribosomal RNA
Source: RNAcentral